This 678-nucleotide ribosomal RNA is filed under the name Escherichia coli. RNAcentral's name for it is "bacterial SSU rRNA". It matches the Rfam family "Bacterial small subunit ribosomal RNA", at positions 842 to 1520 of the family's 1533-position model. The record is from RNAcentral. Lineage: Bacteria; Pseudomonadati; Pseudomonadota; Gammaproteobacteria; Enterobacterales; Enterobacteriaceae.
GCUUCCGGAGCUAACGCGUUAAGUCGACCGCCUGGGGAGUACGGCCGCAAGGUUAAAACUCAAAUGAAUUGACGGGGGCCCGCACAAGCGGUGGAGCAUGUGGUUUAAUUCGAUGCAACGCGAAGAACCUUACCUGGUCUUGACAUCCACGGAAGUUUUCAGAGAUGAGAAUGUGCCUUCGGGAGCCGUGAGACAGGUGCUGCAUGGCUGUCGUCAGCUCGUGUUGUGAAAUGUUGGGUUAAGUCCCGCAACGAGCGCAACCCUUAUCCUUUGUUGCCAGCGGUCCGGCCGGGAACUCAAAGGAGACUGCCAGUGAUAAACUGGAGGAAGGUGGGGAUGACGUCAAGUCAUCAUGGCCCUUACGACCAGGGCUACACACGUGCUACAAUGGCGCAUACAAAGAGAAGCGACCUCGCGAGAGCAAGCGGACCUCAUAAAGUGCGUCGUAGUCCGGAUUGGAGUCUGCAACUCGACUCCAUGAAGUCGGAAUCGCUAGUAAUCGUGGAUCAGAAUGCCACGGUGAAUACGUUCCCGGGCCUUGUACACACCGCCCGUCACACCAUGGGAGUGGGUUGCAAAAGAAGUAGGUAGCUUAACCUUCGGGAGGGCGCUUACCACUUUGUGAUUCAUGACUGGGGUGAAGUCGUAACAAGGUAACCGUAGGGGAACCUGCGGUUG